AGUGAACGCUGGCGGUAGGCCUAAUACAUGCAAGUCGAACGGCCGCACAGUAAGCGCUUGCUCUUGAGGUUGGCGAGUGGCGGACGGGUGAGGAAUACAUAGGCAUCUACUUUUUCUUGGGGGAUAACGUGGGGAAGCUUAUGCUACUGCCGCAUACGGCCUACGGGUUAAAGCAGGAGAUAUUCAGAGCUUGCGCGUUACAAUGAGCCGGUGUCGGAUUAGCUAGUUGGCUAGGUAAAGGCCUACCAAGGCAACGAUGCGUAGCUGAUCUGAGAGGAUGAUCAGCCACACUGGAACUGAGACACGGUCCAGACUCCUACGGGAGGCAGCAGUAGGGAAUAUUCGACAAUGGGCGAAAGCCUGAUCCAGCCACACCGCGUGGGUGAAGAAGGUCUUCGGAUCGUAAAGCCCUUUUGUUAGGAAAGAAAAUCAGCAUGUUAAUACCCCGAUGUUCUGACGGUACCCAAAGAGUAAGCACCGGCUAACUACGUG
This 492-nucleotide ribosomal RNA is filed under the name uncultured bacterium. Its description in RNAcentral is "partial 16S ribosomal RNA". It matches the Rfam family "Bacterial small subunit ribosomal RNA", at positions 29 to 507 of the family's 1533-position model. The record is from RNAcentral.